Molecule: ribosomal RNA, 1372 nt
Filed under: uncultured bacterium
Lineage: Bacteria
Description: bacterial SSU rRNA
Rfam family: Bacterial small subunit ribosomal RNA
Source: RNAcentral
GAUGAACGCUGGCGGCGUGCCUAAUACAUGCAAGUCGAGCGAACGGACGAGAAGCUUGCUUCUCUGAUGUUAGCGGCGGACGGGUGAGUAACACGUGGAUAACCUACCUAUAAGACUGGGAUAACUUCGGGAAACCGGAGCUAAUACCGGAUAAUAUUUUGAACCGCAUGGUUCAAAAGUGAAAGACGGUCUUGCUGUCACUUAUAGAUGGAUCCGCGCUGCAUUAGCUAGUUGGUAAGGUAACGGCUUACCAAGGCAACGAUGCAUAGCCGACCUGAGAGGGUGAUCGGCCACACUGGAACUGAGACACGGUCCAGACUCCUACGGGAGGCAGCAGUAGGGAAUCUUCCGCAAUGGGCGAAAGCCUGACGGGGCAACGCCGCGUGAGUGAUGAAGGUCUUCGGAUCGUAAAACUCUGUUAUUAGGGAAGAACAUAUGUGUAAGUAACUGUGCACAUCUUGACGGUACCUAAUCAGAAAGCCACGGCUAACUACGUGCCAGCAGCCGCGGUAAUACGUAGGUGGCAAGCGUUAUCCGGAAUUAUUGGGCGUAAAGCGCGCGUAGGCGGUUUUUUAAGUCUGAUGUGAAAGCCCACGGCUCAACCGUGGAGGGUCAUUGGAAACUGGAAAACUUGAGUGCAGAAGAGGAAAGUGGAAUUCCAUGUGUUGCGGUGAAAUGCGCAGAGAUAUGGAGGAACACCAGUGGCGAAGGCGACUUUCUGGUCUGUAACUGACGCUGAUGUGCGAAAGCGUGGGGAUCAAACAGGAUUAGAUACCCUGGUAGUCCACGCCGUAAACGAUGAGUGCUAAGUGUUAGGGGGUUUCCGCCCCUUAGUGCUGCAGCUAACGCAUUAAGCACUCCGCCUGGGGAGUACGACCGCAAGGUUGAAACUCAAAGGAAUUGACGGGGACCCGCACAAGCGGUGGAGCAUGUGGUUUAAUUCGAAGCAACGCGAAGAACCUUACCAAAUCUUGACAUCCUUUGACAACUCUAGAGAUAGAGCCUUCCCCUUCGGGGGACAAAGUGACAGGUGGUGCAUGGUUGUCGUCAGCUCGUGUCGUGAGAUGUUGGGUUAAGUCCCGCAACGAGCGCAACCCUUAAGCUUAGUUGCCAUCAUUAAGUUGGGCACUCUAAGUUGACUGCCGGUGACAAACCGGAGGAAGGUGGGGAUGACGUCAAAUCAUCAUGCCCCUUAUGAUUUGGGCUACACACGUGCUACAAUGGACAAUACAAAGGGCAGCGAAACCGCGAGGUCAAGCAAAUCCCAUAAAGUUGUUCUCAGUUCGGAUUGUAGUCUGCAACUCGACUACAUGAAGCUGGAAUCGCUAGUAAUCGUAGAUCAGCAUGCUACGGUGAAUACGUUCCCGGGUCU